Molecule: ribosomal RNA, 484 nt
Filed under: uncultured bacterium
Lineage: Bacteria
Description: partial 16S ribosomal RNA
Rfam family: Bacterial small subunit ribosomal RNA
Source: RNAcentral
AUUGAACGCUGGCGGCAGGCCUAACACAUGCAAGUCGAGCGGAUGAAGGGAGCUUGCUCCUGGAUUCAGCGCCGGACGGGUGAGUAAUGCCUAGGAAUCUGCCUGGUAGUGGGGGAUAACGUCCGGAAACGGGCGCUAAUACCGCAUACGUCCUGAGGGAGAAAGUGGGGGAUCUUCGGACCUCACGCUAUCAGAUGAGCCUAGGUCGGAUUAGCUAGUUGGUGGGGUAAAGGCCUACCAAGGCGACGAUCCGUAACUGGUCUGAGAGGAUGAUCAGUCACACUGGAACUGAGACACGGUCCAGACUCCUACGGUAGGGAGCAGUGGGGAAUAUUGGGCAGAGGGCGAAAGCCUGAUCCAGCCAUGCCGCGUGUGUGAAGAAGGUCUUCGGAUUGUAAAGCACUUUAAGUUGGGAGGAAGGGCAGUAAGUUAAUACCUUGCUGUUUUGACGUUACCAACAGAAUAAGCACCGGCUAACUUCGUG